AGAGUUUGAUCAUGGCUCAGGACGAACGCUGGCGGCGUGCUUAACACAUGCAAGUCGAGCGGAAAGGCCACUUCGGUGGUACUCGAGCGGCGAACGGGUGAGUAACACGUGAGUAAUCUGCCCUUCACUUCGGGAUAGCCCUGGGAAACUGGGAUUAAUACCGGAUACGACCGGCGCCUGCAUGGGUUGUUGGUGGAAAGUUUUUUCGGUGGAGGAUGUGCUCGCGGCCUAUCAGCUUGUUGGUGGGGUAAUGGCCUACCAAGGCUUCGACGGGUAGCCGGCCUGAGAGGGUGACCGGCCACACUGGGACUGAGACACGGCCCAGACUCCUACGGGAGGCAGCAGUGGGGAAUAUUGGACAAUGGGCGGAAGCCUGAUCCAGCAACGCCGCGUGAGGGAUGACGGCCUUCGGGUUGUAAACCUCUUUCAGCGGGGACGAAGCGCAAGUGACGGUACCCGCAGAAGAAGCACCGGCCAACUACGUGCCAGCAGCCGCGGUA
RNAcentral lists this ribosomal RNA (500 nucleotides) under uncultured Actinomycetes bacterium. RNAcentral describes it as "bacterial SSU rRNA". It matches the Rfam family "Bacterial small subunit ribosomal RNA", at positions 8 to 522 of the family's 1533-position model. The record is from RNAcentral. Lineage: Bacteria; Bacillati; Actinomycetota; Actinomycetes.